UUGGGUGAAACACUUUCUGGAACUUACAGUGGCUUAUUGAGUGCAACUGGUAUAUGUACCUACCUGGAACUAACAAUACCUAGAUUGCUGUAUGUUCCUGCCUUGGAAUGUGUUUGUUCCUUCCUUGAACUUACUUGAUGGGUUCCUUCUUUGAACUAACAGUGUCAAAGAACAAAAUUUAACGUAAUUACAUGUGUCUAACUCAAACCCAGGACCUCUCACACCUGAGGCAGACACUUUACCAUUUCGCCAUAACAGCAGGAUCUAAAGCUAGGCUGUGUAUGACGUCAUUGUCCAAAGAUUCAUGAAUAGCGAAUAUGCAUUUGUUAAAGCGGGAUCAGUUGGCCUAUUUUAGAAA
This is a long non-coding RNA of Mercenaria mercenaria, 358 nucleotides long. RefSeq lists it as uncharacterized. Lineage: Eukaryota; Metazoa; Mollusca; Bivalvia; Venerida; Veneridae. The transcript is spliced from 3 exons. The record is from RefSeq and is a predicted model, not a curated record.